CCCUUAGAUGUUCUGGGCGGCCCGCGCACUACAUUGGCACUCUCAAUAAGUUCCUAGAUCUAAAACUUUGGGGUAUUCUAUUAAGUGGUGUCGUGACUGGGAUUAACCCUUGCAAUUAUUGGUUACGAACGAGGAAUUCCUUGUAAUCGCGGUUUAUCGGCCCGCGUUGAAUGCGUCCCUGCCCUUUGUACACACCGCCCGUCGCUCCUACCGAUGAAUCGUCCGGUGAAGUUCAUGGAGUGGUGGUUGUUCCAGCUGCUGUCGAAGUGAAAUGGACCUCACGAUUUAGAGGAAGGAGAAGUCGUAACA
RNAcentral lists this ribosomal RNA (309 nucleotides) under uncultured eukaryote. Its description in RNAcentral is "partial 18S ribosomal RNA". It matches the Rfam family "Eukaryotic small subunit ribosomal RNA", at positions 1470 to 1796 of the family's 1831-position model. The record is from RNAcentral.